ACGGCGAGUGAAGCGGCAACAGCUCAAAUUUGAAAGCUGGCCCCCCCGGGGGUCCGCGUUGUAAUUUGUAGAGGAUGAUUCGGCGAGGGCUCCCGCCUAAGUCCCCUGGAACGGGGCGUCAUAGAGGGUGAGAAUCCCGUAUGCGGUGGGCUGCCUUAGCCAUGUGAAUCUCCUUCGACGAGUCGAGUUGUUUGGGAAUGCAGCUCUAAAUGGGAGGUAAAUUUCUUCUAAAGCUAAAUACCGGCCAGAGACCGAUAGCGCACAAGUAGAGUGAUCGAAAGAUGAAAAGCACUUUGGAAAGAGAGUUAAAAAGUACGUGAAAUUGUUGAAAGGGAAGCGCUUGCAGCCAGACUUGUCCGCAGUUGCUCAGCCGGUCUCCUGACCGGCGCACUCUUCUGCGGCCAGGCCAGCAUCAGUUCGGGCGGUCGGAUAAAGGCCCCGGGAACGUAGCUCCUCUCGGGGAGUGUUAUAGCCCGGGGUGGAAUGCGGCCAGCCUGGACUGAGGAUCUCGCUUCGGCUAGGAUGCUGGCGUAAUGGCUGUAAGCGGCCCGUCUUGAAACACGGACCAAGGAGUCUAACAUCUAUGCGAGUGUUUGGGUGUCAAACCCAUGCGCGUAAUGAAAGUGAACGGAGGUGGGAACCCUCGCGGGUGCACCAUCGACCGAUCCUGAUGUCUUCGGAUGGAUUUGAGUAAGAGCAUAGCUGUUGGGACCCGAAAGAUGGUGAACUAUGCCUGAAUAGGGUGAAGCCAGAGGAAACUCUGGUGGAGGCUCGCAGCGGUUCUGACGUGCAAAUCGAUCGUCAAAUUUGGGUAUAGGGGCGAAAGACUAAUCGAACCAUCGACUACUAGGUGGUUAAGAGGUGGCUGAAAGUGCCCACCUAGUCCCCCCGUCCUCGGACGGGGGGGCGACAUCGCCAAAUUGCGGGGACUCCCUUAGAGCCUCUACUACCGCGGCCGGCCGAAAGGCGCGGUGCAGCACCGGGUUAAUUGCCUAGGGUACGGUAAAAAGGUAGAGGAUUGGGAAAUCCGCAGCCAAGCGCCUAAGUCCCGCGGGAUACGGCGAAGGUUCAGAGACUAGAUGGCGGUGGG
This 1090-nucleotide small RNA is filed under the name Neoscytalidium hyalinum. Its description in RNAcentral is "eukaryotic LSU rRNA". It matches the Rfam family "Eukaryotic large subunit ribosomal RNA", at positions 86 to 1042 of the family's 3401-position model. Lineage: Eukaryota; Fungi; Ascomycota; Dothideomycetes; Botryosphaeriales; Botryosphaeriaceae. The record is from RNAcentral.